CGCUUAGGUAACCACCCAACUCUUUCCAUCUGUAAAAUGAGAGGUGAGCUAUGUAGGUGAACACUAAGAGCCCUUGUUUAGCUAACAUUCUGUGAUUGCAAGGGGAGCGCAAGUGAACUGGAUGUGAUGGGCCACAGAACAAUGAGCAACCUGGAGAGCGGGAAGAGAGGGUUUUUCUAGAACCAUGUGUUCGAAAUUGGGAGUCCUCAGAGGGGCUGCAGGAAGCGUGCAAGAAAAACGGAAGUGAGAUUCCAACAGGAGGGCACCACUGUCCCUGUCUGACCUUAAACCAGGAGAUUUUGUACAGAUGUAUUCCUUCAAGAAAACCAGCUUGUUGGCAGUAAUAGAGAAGAAAUGAGCUUCUCCCAACAACAGCCAACAACAGCCAAUGACAACAGCAAAAUAGGAAAAAGGGUUGCCCUCUGAAAGGUCUGGAGGCUGGGCAUCUGAGAUCGGGACCAGCAUGGUUAGGUUCUGGUGCAGCCCAGAGCAGCAGGAGCUGUGCCCUGGCCCCUGUCCUGAGGAGCUCCCACUGGUCAGCCCCGCCUACUCCAGCUGGACCUUGAUGCUUCACACAAGGUGUGCGCAGAGGACACAGGCACUUCAUGGAGCAACAUACUUUUGUAAAAAAAAUGAAUUCCCUUGUAACAAAUAGAGCACGGAGGCUUUUAUAGAUUAAGUAAUUUGUAGUCUUCUUAUAAUUAUGGCUUCUAAAUUACCUAAAAUAAUUCAUUCAAGGCUUGAUUUUAGUUUUGUCUUGAGAGUGUCAACUCUUUAACUUGAGAUGCUGUAGGAUGGGGUUUCAUCUUGGGAUUCUUUUCUUGGAUAUGUCAUUUAAAUUCUGAUACUUAUAUUCCCUAUUUGAAAACACAUGAUCAAUGACAAUACCAAUACCUGAUUUGUGUGCAAUACUUAUAAUUUACAACGUACAUUAUUUUAACAUACAUUCUUUUCAUGCGACCCUCUCAACAACCCUUUGACAAGGCAAGUCAGAGACUAAUUACUAGAGAUUAUUCAAGCGACUUGCUCCAAGUCAUACAGUAGGCAGGCAGCCAAGAUGACUCUAGUUUUUCCAACUCCUAGUCCCACACUCUUUCCUCUCCCCUUACAUGUUCUGAUAUAAAUCAAACUUAGGUUUGAAAAUAUCUUAUUGAUGUAUUUCAACACCCCAGAAUUUGAUGAGACUGGAAUCGAUUUGUUGUGAUCUGUGAUUGCUGAAUUCCUCGUAUGUGGUGGAUACCAAGGUAAGUUGACUAGAAUGUGAGCUUGCCUACCCAGACACCAGUUCCCAUGUCCUUUGUCCGGUGGUAUAAUUUGAAGUUCACUCUUUUUGGUGUACAGUUUUAUGAGUUGAGUUGUGAAAAACAUAUACAGUUGUGUAUCCACCACUACAGUCAAGAUAUAGAACAGUUCCAUUACCUCAAAAAUUUUUUUCAGGCCGGGCGCAGUGGCUCACGCCUGUAAUCCCAGCACUUUAGGAGGCCAAAGCGGGCGGAUCACGAGGUCAGGAGAUCGAGACCAUCCUGGCUAACGCUGUGAAACCAUGUCUCUACUAAAAAUACAAAAAAAUUAGCCAGGCGUGGUGGCAGGUGCCUGUGGUCCCAGCUACUUGGGAGGCUGAGGCAAGAGAACCGCUUGACCCUGGGAGGCAGAGGUUGCGGUGAGCCAAGAUCGCGCCACUGCACUCCAACCUGGGCGACAGAGCGAGAGUCCAUCUCAAAAAGAAAACAUCAUACUCUUUUGUAGUCAACCCUAGCUAGGCCCCUAUAGUUUUGCCUUUCCCAAAGUAUCUUAUGCAUGGAAUCAUCCAGGAGAUAACCUCCUGAAUCAGGCUUCUGUCUCUUAGCAUAAUGCAUUUGGGAUUUACCAUGUUAUUUCAUUUAUCAGGUUUUUGUCCCUUUUCAUUGCUGAGUAGUAUUUCAUUAUAGGAAUGUACUCUCGUUUGUGGAUCAUUCUGAUCAACUCAGCACAUGUGGAUUAUUUCCAGUCUUGGCAAUGAUGAAUAAAGUCACUCUAAGCAUUCACGUACAGGUUUUUGCAUGAAUAAAAU
RNAcentral lists this long non-coding RNA (2050 nucleotides) under Homo sapiens (human). RNAcentral describes it as "HSALNT0039392". The record is from RNAcentral. Lineage: Eukaryota; Metazoa; Chordata; Mammalia; Primates; Hominidae.